RNAcentral lists this ribosomal RNA (440 nucleotides) under uncultured bacterium. RNAcentral describes it as "bacterial SSU rRNA". It matches the Rfam family "Bacterial small subunit ribosomal RNA", at positions 338 to 795 of the family's 1533-position model. The record is from RNAcentral.
CCUACGGGAGGCAGCAGUGGGGAAUAUUGCACAAUGGGGGAAACCCUGAUGCAGCGACGCCGCGUGAGCGAUGAAGUAUUUCGGUAUGUAAAGCUCUAUCAGCAGGGAAGAAACUGACGGUACCUGACUAAGAAGCACCGGCUAAAUACGUGCCAGCAGCCGCGGUAAUACGUAUGGUGCAAGCGUUAUCCGGAUUUACUGGGUGUAAAGGGAGCGUAGACGGACCUGCAAGUCUGAAGUGAAAGCCCGGGGCUCAACCCCGGGACUGCUUUGGAAACUGUAGGUCUAGAGUGCUGGAGAGGUAAGUGGAAUUCCUAGUGUAGCGGUGAAAUGCGUAGAUAUUAGGAGGAACACCAGUGGCGAAGGCGGCUUACUGGACAGUAACUGACGUUGAGGCUCGAAAGCGUGGGGAGCAAACAGGAUUAGAUACCCUGGUAGUC